AUUAUACUCCCUCCGUCCGGAAAUACUUGUCCUAGAAAUGGAUAUAGUGGAUGUAUCUGUAACUAAAAUAAGUUCUAGGACAAGUAUUUCCGGACGGAGGAAGUACGAG
RNAcentral lists this microRNA precursor (109 nucleotides) under Hordeum vulgare. Its description in RNAcentral is "microRNA MIR1122". It matches the Rfam family "MIR1120/MIR1122 microRNA precursor family". The record is from RNAcentral. Lineage: Eukaryota; Viridiplantae; Streptophyta; Magnoliopsida; Poales; Poaceae.